Molecule: long non-coding RNA, 666 nt
Filed under: Homo sapiens (human)
Lineage: Eukaryota; Metazoa; Chordata; Mammalia; Primates; Hominidae
Description: HSALNT0336781
Source: RNAcentral
CUCUUCCUGGCUUGCAGAAGGCUGUCUUCUUGCUGUGUCCACACAUUGUGGAAACAGGAAGUUCUGGUUCUGAAGGGGCCCAGGAAGAAACCUCCUCUUCCCCAGCUGAGUUGAGAACCAAGUGGAAGACAAAGAAGUUAGACAGCAGAUGAAAAAGUGACCUGCCUUGCACCUUGCCAGUUGGCUUGCUAGCUCUCCCCUGAUUUGAACUUCUGACAACAGAACAUGCUCCACCAAACUUACCAUGUGAAGGACAGCACAUGGGCAUUCUUUCUGAGACCUGCAAAGAAAACAAAGGGAGAGGCUAAGCAGACAAAGGAAAACUCUUUCUUCUCAAAUCAAUCAGAUAAUGAACUCCUGUUCCCUUUAGGAGAAAUGAGUGGGUGGGGAGAGAAAAGCAAGCAGUUGACCUCUGGAGGUCCUUAGACUUAAAAACAUAAAGCCCAAGGAAGAAAAUUCCUCCCCAGCAUUAACUUGGACCAGUAAUGUUUUUCUAUUUAUAUUCCAUAUGUAAAUAUGCCUGUGAGGUAUUAUGUAUUGUCUUUGUGCCUUUAAGUGCAUUUCUUUAAAAAAUCUGUAACUUUAAACUUAAAUAGAAAGGCACAAAAUGGAUUGUUAUUUUAUACAAUGGAGUUCUGAUAUUAAUUAUUGUUACUUCUCACAAAA